UUUCCGUAGGUGAACCUGCGGAAGGAUCAUUACAGUCAUAGACCCCCGGCCCUCUGGGCUGGGUCCUUCUAUACCCCCCUUUGUUUAUUACCCCUUUCUUGCUUUACCACGCCGGCCCUCCGGCUGCCGGCGCCGGCCGGCUCGCGUCUGCCGCUGAACUAAUCUCUGAUUGUAUAUGAACGCUGAGUACUAUAUAAUAGUUAAAACUUUCAACAACGGAUCUCUUGGUUCUG
Molecule: unclassified non-coding RNA, 233 nt
Filed under: plant metagenome
Description: partial contains small subunit ribosomal RNA, internal transcribed spacer 1, and 5.8S ribosomal RNA
Source: RNAcentral